RNAcentral lists this ribosomal RNA (279 nucleotides) under uncultured bacterium. RNAcentral's name for it is "partial 16S ribosomal RNA". It matches the Rfam family "Bacterial small subunit ribosomal RNA", at positions 506 to 784 of the family's 1533-position model. The record is from RNAcentral.
UGCCAGCAGCCGCGGUAAUACGUAGGGUGCAAGCAUUAAUCGGAUUUACUGGGCGUAAAGGGCGUGUAGGCGGUAAGGUAAGUCUGGUGUGAAAGACCUCGGCUCAACCGAGGGAACGCGCUGGAAACUGUCUUACUAGAGUGAUGGAGGGGAAACUGGAAUUCCUGGUGUAGGGGUGAAAUCUGUAGAGAUCAGGAAGAACACCGGAGGCGAAGGCGAGUUUCUGGCCAUCUACUGACGCUGAGGCGCGAAGGCGUGGGUAGCGAACGGGAUUAGAUA